UGAUAUAACUGCCAGUAAGAAAAAGUGUGUGUGUGUGUGUGUGUGUGUGUGCGCGCGCGUGUGCAGGUCACAACAACAACUGCAGAUGUAGAGACCACGCUUUCCCUUGCUUCCAUUCCACGGCUGAUCAUGCUUGAGGAUCCAGAUCUACAAAACAAAAAAUGGAUGCUGCCGAUUGAAGGCUAAGUCCGCUUUCCUGCGAUUGACCUACCAUUUCUUCAGCAUUUGCUGUUCACUUUGGUUGCUACUACGUGCUCAACAUCGAGUACCAAGUGGAAGCAGCCACUACUUUGGAGUUUAUUCAGAGAUUUAUUGUGAGGAUCAGCCCCGACAACAGCAAGUGCUCCUCUAACUUCCAGG
Misgurnus anguillicaudatus (oriental weatherfish) is the source of this 360-nucleotide non-coding RNA. Lineage: Eukaryota; Metazoa; Chordata; Actinopteri; Cypriniformes; Cobitidae. The record is from RefSeq and is a predicted model, not a curated record.